Juglans microcarpa x Juglans regia is the source of this 494-nucleotide long non-coding RNA. RefSeq lists it as uncharacterized. The transcript is spliced from 3 exons. The record is from RefSeq and is a predicted model, not a curated record. NCBI's taxonomy places the organism in Eukaryota, Viridiplantae, Streptophyta, Magnoliopsida, Fagales, Juglandaceae.
AGAUUAUUUGCGCACAAAGAAAUUUGAGAUCUUAGAGAUCCUUACACCGACGCAUUGAGGCGGUGUGAGUGAAACCAAAUUUACGUAAAAAAAUUGUGUUUAUAAAUUUGGUGAUUUUGGUAUGCAACUCUCACGAGCUUGUCAAUUGAAUGGUGUUUUUGUAUGUUGGCUCAUUUAUGUAAAUAAUUGUGUUUUUAAUUAGGUGUUGUUCAGAAUCUAUUUUUAAAGAGUUUUUAUUUCAUGAAUUGUUACUAUUAUAUGCUUUUGCGAAGAGAUUUUAAGACUCUUUUUCCUCCAACCAGAUGCUACGUACAAGGGGCAUGCUAGUGUGUGUAUAUAUAUAUAUAUAUAUAUAUGUAUAAUCUUAUUGAACGGAUCAUGAACUAAGUACCAUUAAUUAACCUAAAACCAAUCAUGUCAAGGAAAACAUACAAUACUAAAAUCUUUUACGCCAUUAAUUCGGGAGUAACGCUAUUCAUCAUCUCAAUUCUUAU